GACGAACGCUGGCGGCGUGCUUAACACAUGCAAGUCGAACGGUGAAGCGCCUUCCUUUUUGGUGGGUGUGGAUGAGUGGCGAACGGGUGAGUAACACGUGAGUAACCUGCCCCCUUCUUCUGGAUAACCGCAUGAAAGUGUGGCUAAUACGGGAUAUUCUGGGUCUGUCGCAUGAUGGGUCUGGGAAAGAUAUUGUUUCGGUGGGGGAUGGGUUCGCGGCCUAUCAGCUUGUUGGUGGGGUGAUGGCCUACCAAGGCGGUGACGGGUAGCCGGGCUGAGAGGGUAGACGGUCACACUGGGACUGAGACACGGCCCAGACUCCUACGGGAGGCAGCAGUGGGGAAUAGUGCACAAUGGGCGCAAGCCUGAUGCAGCGACGCCGCGUGAGGGAUGGAGGCCUUCGGGUUGUGAACCUCUUUCGCCAGUGAAGCAGGCCUGCCUCGUUUGUGGGUGGGUUGACGGUAGCUGGAUAAGAAGCGCCGGCUAACUACGUG
This 494-nucleotide ribosomal RNA is filed under the name uncultured bacterium. RNAcentral's name for it is "partial 16S ribosomal RNA". It matches the Rfam family "Bacterial small subunit ribosomal RNA", at positions 28 to 507 of the family's 1533-position model. The record is from RNAcentral.